Lathyrus oleraceus (garden pea) is the source of this 1418-nucleotide long non-coding RNA. RefSeq lists it as uncharacterized. The transcript is spliced from 3 exons. The record is from RefSeq and is a predicted model, not a curated record. NCBI's taxonomy places the organism in Eukaryota, Viridiplantae, Streptophyta, Magnoliopsida, Fabales, Fabaceae.
CCAAACAUCGCAAUGGCAAUUCAGGCACGUGGGGAAUGAAUUUCAAAUUGAAUUUAAAAGAAAAAAUGCGCUAGGAAAUGGAAAAUGAGCCCAGGUUGGAUGGCCAUCAUGGGCCACCAUGCCGAAGGCCACCUCCGGUGGCAGUGAGAUGCCAAAACAUAAAAUUCAAACCACUGUUUGAAGCGCCACAUGAUGUUGAUUAAGAGUAUGGAAGUGGAUUUGUGAAAAUCUCAAAGAUAAGCUUGAAUCGUAGGCGAGGAGUUAAGAACCCUAGGUUGCUUUAGGUUAAAUUAAAUGACAUUUAUGAGGAAUCAAAGCCCCGAACCUUAAGGCUUUGAUUCCUGCCACCUUAAGCUACAUAUCGGUAUCAAGAAAAUGGUGAGAACAAAGGUUUCAGAAUAGUACCUUGCUGGGAGACGAUGAAGCGAUGCCGGAGCUCAGGUGAGGCCAGGAUGCAGGGUUUGGUUAGUCCUCGUGUUGUAGGCAUGUGAUGUAGCAGGUAAGGAUUUUGUGGCUUGGUCUGGAUUGGGACUCGUUGUAAGCCUUGUGUAUGGUUCAUGCUGCAGGUAUGCAUUGGCUGGUAGGACCGCAUCUGUUGAUGGUGGCAUGGCUGCAUGUUCAAUGUUUCAUGGUCUGCUGCAAGUUGGAUGCAAGUUCAUGAGUUGUUGCAGGUUAAAGACUUGGUCUAUUAUUCUUGCGGUGUGCUGCAAGAUUAUUCAUGAGUUGCUGCAACAUGUGAUGAUGUGAAUUGCAGGAGGUUUGGUUGCUUGUGCAACUAGUUCUCUGCAUUGCUGGUUGUAAGUAUGUGUGUGUUGCAGAGUUACAUGGUUUGCAUCUGGUUUUGUUGAAAUGUUCAUGACUGAGUUGUGCAGAAACUGGUCUUACCUUGGCUUGUGGUGGGUGUGAUUUUGGCCAUGGAGCUGACUUGGGCUCAUGGAAUUUUUCUUGCUACAGGUUGGAUGUUGUAAUGUUCUGCAGCAUUGUGUCUUGUAGUCAUGACUAGCUUUGAAAUGCACAUGAUCCUAGGUGAGUUAUAAAUGAAAUGUUGUUAUUGUAGCAUUGUUUUUGUAGCCUUAAUAUGCUUAUGAAUGAAUGGAGGUUGCUUCCUCAUUUGGAGUCAAACUCACAAGUUUGGAAAUGCAUGUUUCAUGGAUGGAAAAUGUGAAGAACAUGGUUUCUUGCAAAUGAAGUAAUUUUGAUCAUGAAGUUGCAAAUGAUGAUGCAAGCAUGACGAGUCAAUCAUGGAAGCCAAAAUUAAGGAUGAAUUAGAUGGGUUAUCUUUGGUCAACUGGUUGACCAAAAAGUCAAUAAUUGACCAAAAGUCAACUUAUGCCAAAAUGUAGUUUUCUUUGUAAUCUUUCCAAUGUAUGGACAUUUAGUGUAAUUGUAUGAAUGAAAUGAAAUUUGGUUUAUAUUAA